CUACGGGGGGCUGCAGUGGGGAAUAUUGGACAAUGGGCGAAAGCCUGAUCCAGCCAUGCCGCGUGUGUGAAGAAGGCCUUCGGGUUGUAAAGCACUUUCAGUGGGGAAGAAAGCCUUGGGGCUAAUACCCUCGAGGAAGGACAUCACCCACAGAAGAAGCACCGGCUAACUCCGUGCCAGCAGCCGCGGUAAUACGGAGGGUGCGAGCGUUAAUCGGAAUUACUGGGCGUAAAGCGCGCGUAGGCGGUCUGAUAAGCCGGUUGUGAAAGCCCCGGGCUCAACCUGGGAACGGCAUCCGGAACUGUCAGGCUAGAGUGCAGGAGAGGAAGGUAGAAUUCCCGGUGUAGCGGUGAAAUGCGUAGAGAUCGGGAGGAAUACCAGUGGCGAAGGCGGCCUUCUGGACUGACACUGACGCUGAGGUGCGAAAGCGUGGGUAGCAAACAGGAUUAGAUACCCCCAGUAGUC
This 465-nucleotide ribosomal RNA is filed under the name Vreelandella stevensii. RNAcentral's name for it is "partial 16S ribosomal RNA". It matches the Rfam family "Bacterial small subunit ribosomal RNA", at positions 339 to 795 of the family's 1533-position model. Lineage: Bacteria; Pseudomonadati; Pseudomonadota; Gammaproteobacteria; Oceanospirillales; Halomonadaceae. The record is from RNAcentral.